GCCUGGGUGGCUUAGUUGGAUAAGCAUAUGACUUCAGCUCAGGUCAUGAUCUCACGGUUCGUGGGUUCGAGCCCCAUGUCGGGCU
RNAcentral lists this transfer RNA (85 nucleotides) under Felis catus (domestic cat). It matches the Rfam family "tRNA". Rfam says of the family: Transfer RNA (tRNA) molecules are approximately 80 nucleotides in length. Their secondary structure includes four short double-helical elements and three loops (D, anti-codon, and T loops). Lineage: Eukaryota; Metazoa; Chordata; Mammalia; Carnivora; Felidae. The record is from Rfam by way of RNAcentral.